CCUCAGUAACGGCGAGUGAAGCGGCACAGCUCAAAUUUGAAAUCUGGCUCUCGGGCCCGAGUUGUAAUUUGUAGAGGGGAUUUCGGAGGCGGCGCCGGCCUAAGUUCCUUGGAACAGGGCGUCAUAGAGGGUGAGAAUCCCGUACGUGGCCGGCGGUCAAUUCCAUGUGAAACCCCUUCGACGAGUCGAGUUGUUUGGGAAUGCAGCUCAAAAUGGGUGGUAAAUUUCAUCUAAAGCUAAAUACCGGCCAGAGACCGAUAGCGCACAAGUAGAGUGAUCGAAAGAUGAAAAGCACUUUGGAAAGAGAGUUAAAAAGUACGUGAAAUUGUUGAAAGGGAAGCGCUUGCAACCAGACUUGCUCGCGGGUGAUCAGCCCCCCUUCGCGGAGGGUGCACUCGCCCGCGAUCAAGCCAGCAUCGGUUUUGACGGGCGGAUAAAGGCCCCGGGAAUGUAGCUCCCCUCGGGGAGUGUUAUAGCCCGAGGUACCAUGCGCCCAGUCGGGACCGAGGACCGCGCUUCGGCUAGGAUGCUGGCGUAAUGGUUGUAAGCGACCCGUCUUGAAACACGGACCAAGGAGUCUAACAUCUAUGCGAGUGUUUGGGUGAUARACCCAUGCGCGGAAUGAAAGUGAACGGAGGUGGGAGCCCCUUUCGGGGGGCGCACCAUCGACCGAUCCAGAUGUCUUCGGAUGGAUUUGAGUAGGAGCAUAGCUGUUGGGACCCGAAAGAUGGUGAACUAUGCCUGGAUAGGGUGAAKCCAGAGGAAACUCUGGUGGAGGCUCGCAGCGGUUCUGACGURCAAAU
This 803-nucleotide ribosomal RNA is filed under the name Circinaria lacunosa. RNAcentral describes it as "LSU rRNA". It matches the Rfam family "Eukaryotic large subunit ribosomal RNA", at positions 78 to 898 of the family's 3401-position model. The record is from RNAcentral. Lineage: Eukaryota; Fungi; Ascomycota; Lecanoromycetes; Pertusariales; Megasporaceae.